GUUAGGUUUCUCUUUCUCUUUCUUUAUCGAUGGAUGUGAAAUUGGGUUCUGGGGUUUGUGUUUUGUUGUUUCGUUUGGAAUUUCUCACCCAGUUGAGUGUUUUUUGGUAUUUUUUGGUGCAGUCGAAAGAUCUGCUUCUGCCCUCAUGGGUUCUCGAAGGGUAAAAAUGAGUUCUUUGCAGAUGUGACUAAGCUUGAGGAGUUUCUCAAGGACCCAUGGGGUCUUAAGGCCAAACAA
Molecule: unclassified non-coding RNA, 237 nt
Filed under: Hevea brasiliensis (rubber tree)
Lineage: Eukaryota; Viridiplantae; Streptophyta; Magnoliopsida; Malpighiales; Euphorbiaceae
Source: RNAcentral